GACGAACGCUGGCGGCGUGCUUAACACAUGCAAGUCGAACGGAAAGGCCCUGCUUUUGUGGGGUGCUCGAGUGGCGAACGGGUGAGUAACACGUGAGUAUCCCGCCCUUGACUUUGGGAUAACUUCAGGAAACUGCGGCUAAUACCGGAUAGGAGCUCCUGCUGCAUGGUGGGGGUUGGAAAGUUUCGGCGGUUGGGGAUGGACUGGCGGCUUACCAGCUUGUUGGUGGAGUAGUGGCUUACAAAGGCUUUGACGGAUAGCCCGCCUGAGAGGGGGAACGGGCACAAGGGGACUAAGGGAGGGCGCAGACGGCAACGGGAGGCAGCGGUGGAGAAUAUUGCACAGUGAGCGGGAGCCUGAGACGGAGGCGCCGGGUGCGGGAAGACGGCCUUCGGGUUGUAAACCGCUGUCGCCUGUGACGAAGCGUGAGUGACGGUAAUGGGUAAAGAAGCACCGGCUAACUACGUG
RNAcentral lists this ribosomal RNA (468 nucleotides) under uncultured bacterium. RNAcentral's name for it is "partial 16S ribosomal RNA". It matches the Rfam family "Bacterial small subunit ribosomal RNA", at positions 28 to 507 of the family's 1533-position model. The record is from RNAcentral.